This is a long non-coding RNA of Cygnus olor (mute swan), 900 nucleotides long. RefSeq lists it as uncharacterized. Lineage: Eukaryota; Metazoa; Chordata; Aves; Anseriformes; Anatidae. The record is from RefSeq and is a predicted model, not a curated record. The transcript is spliced from 4 exons.
CUGAUGUGGUUACUCAACACAAGAUCCUAAAAUCCUGCACCUAAAAUCAGUGCUGUUCUUCAUCCCAAAAGCUGACUACAGUUUUUUCCUUUAUAGGAAACCAGGACCCUGAGUGAAAGCAGAGGCAAAAGCAAUGUGCACUCGGAUGGACGGAGAGCUGGAGGAGUUGCAGGGCACAUUCUUCCCUUGCUGCUGCCAUGGGUGAGCAGCAGCAGCCGGAGCAGCUCGGUGCGUGCUGGGGUGGCUGCCCAUCGUGUGUGUUCUGCUGGCUCGGGGCUGCUGAGCAACACUCCAGGCCCCGCACAGCAUUUGGGUGAGAGCAUCCUGCUGGAUGGCAGCUUUGAUUUUCCACCGUGGAGAGGCAUCGCAGCACAGCGGGAACUCAGCCAGAGCCAGAGGUCAUUCUGCAGCGCGUGCCCAGCAUCGGGGCACCUUGCAUGGCUUAAACCAAAGGCUUUCUUUUAAAAUCAAGUGUGUAUUGGACUGUGUGUGCAGGAAAGGCACAAAUCCUCUGGAGAUAAGAGCUGAGGCCUGCUUCCUGUUGCCUUGAAUGCUGCUGCUGGCUGACCUGUGUAUUUGGAGCAAGAUAAUGGAAGUCCGGCACCAUUACAAAACAGCACAUGGGGAUCCAUUCUGGCUUGCGUUCAAGCCCCUGACAAGGCACUGUCCUGUCGCAGUACCCCAAAGCACUCAGUUUCCCCUUUUUCAUGGAAAUCCAAGACUGCACUCAGCAGUGCCUUUGUUGUCAUGUGAGCGUGUCUCUAAGUGAAUUGUAAUGUCUCUUUUGCCACUUUCCUUCUGGAAUAAUAUCUUCAGUGCAAGCAGGAAAUUUUCUUCCAUCAGCUGCCGGUGAAUGAGUUCUUCAGGUUGGUUAUUUUAAAAUAAUUUGUUUAACUUUGA